UUUGUACUCCCUCCGUCCCAAAAUUCUUGUCUUAAAUUUGUCUAAAUACGGAUGUAUCUAGUUACAUUUUAGUGUUAGAUACAUCCUAUCUAAACAAAUGUAAGACAAUAAUUUUGGGAUGGAGGGAAUACUAC
Triticum aestivum (bread wheat) is the source of this 134-nucleotide non-coding RNA. The record is from Rfam. Lineage: Eukaryota; Viridiplantae; Streptophyta; Magnoliopsida; Poales; Poaceae.